AUUCCGGUUGAUCCUGCCGGAGGACAUUGCUAUUGGGAUUCGAUUUAGCCAUGCUAGUCGAGCGAGUUCAGACUCGCGGCGAAUAGCUCAGUAACACGUGGCCAAGCUCCCCUUCAGUCAGCGAUACCCUCGGGAAACUGAGGUUAACAGCUGAUACAAAACGCCAGCUGGAAUGCGGCGUUUCAGAAAGACAUCGCUGAAGGAUGCGGCUGCGGCCGAUUAGGUAGACGGUGGGGUAACGGCCCACCGUGCCAGUAAUCGGUACGGGUGAUGAGAGUCAGAGCCCGGAGACGGAAUCUGAGACAAGAUUCCGGGCCCUACGGGGCGCAGCAGGCGCGAAACCUUUACACUGCACGGAAGUGCGAUAGGGGAAUCCCAAGUGCGAGGGCAUAUUAGCCCUCGCUUUUCUCGACUGUAAGGUGGUCGACGAAUAAGAGCUGGGCAAGACCGGUGCCAGCCGCCGCGGUAAUACCGGCAGCUCAAG
Molecule: ribosomal RNA, 484 nt
Filed under: uncultured haloarchaeon
Lineage: Archaea; Methanobacteriati; Methanobacteriota; Halobacteria; Halobacteriales; Halobacteriaceae
Description: bacterial SSU rRNA
Rfam family: Archaeal small subunit ribosomal RNA
Source: RNAcentral